GACGAACGCUGGCGGCGUGCUUAACACAUGCAAGUCGAACGGAAAGGCCCCAGCUUGCUGGGGUACUCGAGUGGCGAACGGGUGAGUAACACGUGGGUGAUCUGCCCUGCACUCUGGGAUAAGCCUGGGAAACUGGGUCUAAUACCGGAUAGGACCGUGCUUUAGUGUGUGCGGUGGAAAGUUUUUCGGUGCAGGAUGAGCCCGCGGCCUAUCAGCUUGUUGGUGGGGUAAUGGCCUACCAAGGCGGCGACGGGUAGCCGGCCUGAGAGGGUGUACGGCCACAUUGGGACUGAGACACGGCCCAGACUCCUACGGGAGGCAGCAGUGGGGAAUAUUGCACAAUGGGCGCAAGCCUGAUGCAGCGACGCCGCGUGGGGGAUGACGGCUUUCGGGUUGUAAACCCCUUUCGGCAGGGACGAAGCUUUUGUGACGGUACCUGCAUAAGAAGCACCGGCUAACUACGUG
Molecule: ribosomal RNA, 465 nt
Filed under: uncultured bacterium
Lineage: Bacteria
Description: partial 16S ribosomal RNA
Rfam family: Bacterial small subunit ribosomal RNA
Source: RNAcentral